UGGAAGGUUUGUACUUGAUAUGGUCCCUUC
Molecule: non-coding RNA, 30 nt
Filed under: Rattus norvegicus (Norway rat)
Lineage: Eukaryota; Metazoa; Chordata; Mammalia; Rodentia; Muridae
Source: RNAcentral